Long non-coding RNA from Peromyscus californicus insignis, 1541 nucleotides. RefSeq lists it as uncharacterized. The transcript has 5 exons. The record is from RefSeq and is a predicted model, not a curated record. NCBI's taxonomy places the organism in Eukaryota, Metazoa, Chordata, Mammalia, Rodentia, Cricetidae.
GCUCUCGCGCUCGGAGGGGGAGGGGGGUGCAUCUGACAUCUUCAGGAUGUCUUCCCCAAAGAAGUACCCGGAAUCCUUCCCAGCAGGGUGAAGGCAACCUCUUGUACCUUGCAUAAAAAAUAUGAGUGUUAGCCAGGCAUGGUCCCUUGCAGUCUCAGAGCUUGGUGGCCUGAGGCUGGAGGAUGCCAAGUUGGAGAACAGCCUAGGUUACAGAGCGAGUUUGAGCCAGUCAGGGGUCCCACUCUGUCGACCAGGAUGGCCUGGAGCUCACAGAGGUCCAUCUGCUUCUGCCUCCCAAGAGCUGGGAUCAAAGGCGUGCUCCUGCACCACCAUACCUGGCUGUGAGGCCCGUCUGUUCAUGUGCACAUGGCUGCCGGGUCUCGGUGGCACCUGGGGACGAAGCAAGUUUUCAUCUGCGUGGAUGCGGGGUGGCAGAGACCAACAGCUUCAUCCACUUGGCUCUGUCUUGACAAUCACGGGGGACUGAGCCUUCCGAACCUCAAGAGUUCCUGCUGGUUCCCAGGUCGCAGAAGAGAAUAGGGAAUUGGGAAGGGUCACAGGCACCCUGCGAAGCAGCCUUACAGAUAAGUAUCCCUUCACCAGCCCCCUCUGCACCAGCCUGCUUUCUGCUGGUGCAUCUGUGAAGGAGGGUUGGCUCUGGAACCCCCAAGAGGGAGGGUGGAUAUCCUGUGUAUGACUCUGGCUCUUGAGGAUGGCAUUUGUAAACUUGGACAGACUCCUUGGUCUUGCAGACACAUGGAGACCUCUGCAGGGUUUCCCACGGGACGCAUUGUCUCCACUCAGCUCUAGGCUCCUGUGACAGCCGGCUCCGAGAUGCCUCCCCGUCCCCGACUCAGGCCCUGGAGGACAGAUGUAGUAUAAUUGUCAGAAAAGAGCAAAUCUGAGUGCUGGGUUGAGAUUCAGGGCAUCUUCUCCAUCCUGGUGACUUACAGUGGCCUGGCUGAGCCCUGUACCGCCCUCUGGCUCCAGACAUGUUCUCUGCUGUGGGAGUCACGGAAGGGUGGGGGGCUGAGGUGGGCUGAAGAGCUGCUGUCAUUUCCUGGCCACUGCCCUGAAUGGCCCUUGUGUGUGACAGGGCGGGAUGUGUCCCUGGGUCCAGACAGAGGCAUAGGCUUCCAGUGACCGCAUCAGUACUGAGGUCAGAGUUCCAGUCCCCUACUCUGUCAGGACUCCCCUUUCCGCUGUCCCUAAGCUGCCCAGCUUCCUGUGAGUUUUCCUGGGUCGCAAAGGAAACCACCAUGUGCCCAUGUUUGUGAAGGAUGCUCUGGGUAGCAGGGAAGGAGGAGGCAGGGUGGCUCUUGGGCCCAAAGCAGGCCUUGAGUGUGGUCCUCUCCUGUGCCGGGCUUGGCUCUUCUGUCUUCCCAGAGUCAUCCUGUGAUGUCCGUGUGGGAGGAGCUAGGAGCUAGGCCUGCGAUGAAGUCAGGAGAUGCUGGGUGUCCAGAGGUGAAUGACAGAGACAUGGUCCUCUCCCCUGAGGUCUUCAAGUAAGAAAACGCAUCACCACAGCUCAGCGAGGGGGG